UGGGGUAUAUUGGACAAUGGGCGAAAGCCUGAUCCAGCCAUGCCGCGUGUGUGAAGAAGGUCUUCGGAUUGUAAAGCACUUUAAGUUGGGAGGAAGGGCAGUAAGCGAAUACCUUGCUGUUUUGACGUUACCGACAGAAUAAGCACCGGCUAACUCUGUGCCAGCAGCCGCGGUAAUACAGAGGGUGCAAGCGUUAAUCGGAAUUACUGGGCGUAAAGCGCGCGUAGGUGGUUCGUUAAGUUGAAUGUGAAAGCCCCGGGCUCAACCUGGGAACUGCAUCCAAAACUGGAGAGCUAGAGUAGGGCAGAGGGUGGUGGAAUUUCCUGUGUAGCGGUGAAGUGCGUAGAUAUAAGAAGGAACACCAGUGGCGAAGGCGACCACCUGGGCUCAUACUGACACUGAGGUGCGAAAGCGUGGGGAGCAAACAGG
Molecule: ribosomal RNA, 429 nt
Filed under: Pseudomonadota bacterium
Lineage: Bacteria; Pseudomonadati; Pseudomonadota
Description: Proteobacteria bacterium partial 16S ribosomal RNA
Rfam family: Bacterial small subunit ribosomal RNA
Source: RNAcentral